This is a long non-coding RNA of Cucumis sativus (cucumber), 738 nucleotides long. RefSeq lists it as uncharacterized. NCBI's taxonomy places the organism in Eukaryota, Viridiplantae, Streptophyta, Magnoliopsida, Cucurbitales, Cucurbitaceae. The record is from RefSeq and is a predicted model, not a curated record. The transcript is spliced from 2 exons.
UCUGUUCGUCCAACUACUUUCCAUUACUCUUGAAGUCAUUCACUAUAUAGAUUAGAAAUAAUUGUAAGGGGUCCCAGACUCCCAAUCCCAUUUUGGUUUCUGAGAAUUGUGGCUGUUUUCCUUCUCACCAAAAUCCUUCCGGUGGUGGUAAUUAUUAAACUGGGUAAACCGGCGCCGACCUCCCGGAGAAAAGCAAUUAUUGAAGAAGAGACAGUUUUAAUAAUGAAUGAAUUGAAUGGUGGGGGGGCCGGGCCGGGGGUCCCAUUUUAGCCGUAUCCUUCGGUAAUGCCGCCGCUCGCCGGAAGGUAAUGACGCCGUGACGGCUCCACCGCUCCGACUUUUGUUUGUAAUUGCUCAGAAAUGGAAAAUUGGGCACAGCGGAGGAAGAAGCGAUGAUUUGAUCAUAUCAUCCCCAACUGAGCAGAGAGUGGGCACGGGACCUACAUGCCAUUAGAAAGAUGAAUGGCUAUGAUUAUGCCAUGGAAUUGGGGAGAUGGUAAUCAUACACCGUUUAGUAUUAUGAUUGCUUCUCUUCCUUGUUAUGGGGUUUGAGUGAAAGUGAAGCCAACGAUUGAACACCCAACAUAUUUGUGAACUGUGACAUGUUUGAUGGUCUGUAAUGGGAUAACGUUAUAAUGGAACGUAACGUGAAAUCUAUCGUAGAACGUUAUUGUGUACUUGGUUCGUGACAGUUUGUAAUUCAAAUUUCACUCUUUCACAGUCUUAGUGUGACCAACA